UUAUAACCUAGAUAAGUUGACUAUUCUUCUGAAGAUUAUAAAUAAAGAGUAGGUGUUCAUAACACAUAGUGAAUUAUGCACCCAUGGUAACUGUGGAACAGGGCUCCGGGGACAGAUGUUUCCUGAAGCCAUUCUCUGUGCCUGUAACACUAAAUCCAGAAGAAAACACUACUAGAAUUUCUCCAUGGGAAUAGAGCUACAGAAACCGUCCUGUACUGCAAAAGGGACUACAGAGAAGCAAAGAAUAUGGAAAGAAAGCAAACACUACCUGUCUUCAUAGAAACCAAAUAUAAUUUCAAAGGCAAGAGGGAAGAUCCAGGGAUCUACAGUUCAGUCCACUGCACAUCAGUCUCUGCAAAGGUGUUGGAGCAACUGAUCCUGGAAACCACUUCCAAACACAUGAAGAAAUUGUCAUUAGUUUAACAACACAUUUAAGUUGUUAUGAAAAGUUUACAACUGUCAUUUCUAAAUGAACAGUAGUGGUGUCAGAUAUUUCUCAAGAAGUAUAAUUGUGUUUUCUGGAAAA
Gallus gallus (chicken) is the source of this 526-nucleotide long non-coding RNA. RefSeq lists it as uncharacterized. Lineage: Eukaryota; Metazoa; Chordata; Aves; Galliformes; Phasianidae. The record is from RefSeq and is a predicted model, not a curated record. The transcript has 2 exons.